Molecule: ribosomal RNA, 253 nt
Filed under: uncultured bacterium
Lineage: Bacteria
Description: partial 16S ribosomal RNA
Rfam family: Bacterial small subunit ribosomal RNA
Source: RNAcentral
UACAGAGGGGGCAAGCGUUGUUCGGAAUUACUGGGCGUAAAGGGCGCGUAGGCGGCCUUCUAAGUCAGACGUGAAAUCCCCGGGCUCAACCCGGGAACUGCGUCUGAUACUGGAGGCUUGAAUCCGGGAGAGGGAUGUGGAAUUCCAGGUGUAGCGGUGAAAUGCGUAGAUAUCUGGAGGAACACCGGUGGCGAAGGCGGCAUCCUGGACCGGCAUUGACGCUGAGGCGCGAAAGCCAGGGGAGCAAACGGGG